RNAcentral lists this ribosomal RNA (776 nucleotides) under uncultured Neocallimastigales. RNAcentral's name for it is "partial large subunit ribosomal RNA". It matches the Rfam family "Eukaryotic large subunit ribosomal RNA", at positions 24 to 645 of the family's 3401-position model. The record is from RNAcentral. Lineage: Eukaryota; Fungi; Neocallimastigomycota; Neocallimastigomycetes; Neocallimastigales.
UAUGUGAUCGUCUCUCGCAUAUCAAUAAGCGGAGGAAAAGAAACUAACAAGGAUUCCCCUAGUAACGGCGAGUGAAGCGGGAAGAGCUCAAAUUUGAAAUCUUAAAGGGUUUCCCUUUACGAAUUGUAGUUUAAAGAAGUGUUUUCUGUUGAGGUUUUGGUAAAAGUUCUUUGGAAUAGGACAUCAUAGAGGGUGAGAAUCCCGUAUUUGACCUUUACUUUCAACUUUGUGAUACACUUUCAAAGAGUCGGAUUGUUUGGGAAUGCAGUCCAAAAUGGGUGGUAAAUUUCAUCUAAAGCUAAAUAUUGGCGAGAGGCCGAUAGCGAACAAGUACCGUGAGGGAAAGAUGAAAAGAACUUUGAAAAGAGAGUUAAACAGUGACGUGAAAUUGUCAAAAGGGAAGCGUUUGACACCAGUGUUGUUUUUCUGAAAAUCAAUUAAAGAACUGUUUAUGCUAAGUUGUUUAGACUUUAUCAGCUAACUGUUUAGUUUUGAGCUUUUCUUUAAUGCACUUUUCAGUUAACAAGUCAACAUCAAUUUCUUUUGCUGUAAAAAAGCUUGAGGAAGGUGGCUUGAGAUUCGUCUUAAGUGUUUAUAGCCUCUUGCCUAUGCAGUCGGAGAGAUUGAGGUCUGCAGCGUAGAUCCUUCGGGGCUAAAUGCAUUUGUGCUAAGUUAUAACAUUUUAUAGACAACUUGUUGACUAUGAUUUGUCUUGUAGCUUACUCAGCUUAUGUUAUUUUACCUACGCUUAGGAUGUUGAAGUCAUCGUAUCGCGC